AGUAGCUGCUAGGGACCUACCAGAGAACCUUGAGGAACUUAUAACCCAUCUUACCCAUAUUGAUGAGAGGUUGAGACAUAGGCAAAACACAAGAGAAAGAUCUAGAAAAGCUGCUGUAUGAUUGGCUCCUUUAUUUCCUGCUGACUCUAUGGCUUUGGCUAUACCUGAAUCUAUGCUGCUAGGCAUGACAAGAUUGACUGAGGCAGAAAGAAUGCAUAGAAAAAGAGAGGGUCUAUGCAUGUAUUGCGGAAAGAGGUGGUCAGCUUUGCUUAUCUUGUCCUGAAAGACCGGAAACUGGAGGGGAGUCAUGAUGUCCGUGGGGCCAAACCCACCAAACACCAACGUGCUCUCAUGUUUUGGGGCCCUUUUUACACCAAACAUAUCCCCAAUCAUAUAAAAGCACACUUAGGCCAGUACACAGUGCCCUGUUGCAUUCUUUUUCUGUAUUUUGUCCUUUUGAUAUUUGACUCACCUUUUCCCUUGACCAUUCUGUUUUCUGGUUCCCUUGACCUGGCUUUGGCUAUCGUUCUUGUGAUUUUCUGGCUCCCUUUGACCUUUUCUUGUUCUGACAUUGUUUUAUAAUUUAAAAAAAAAAAUGGAUUAGUCUGGCCACUCAAAGGCCACUUUUGUAAUGUUGGAAUACCACACGGUUUAAAACAGUUUUUUAACAUGAUUUGAAGAAGAAAAAAACCCCAGUAAAACCUCUGUACAAAAUUGAAAACAGAAACUGCAAAUGGACAGCUGUUUAUGGCGUUUUGCUUUGGAGUAACCCAUUGGUUGCAUGUCCUAAUGCAGAAUUUAAACUUCCACAUUGUUAAUAGUCC
This is a non-coding RNA of Pelobates cultripes (western spadefoot toad), 824 nucleotides long. The record is from the annotation of a GenBank genome assembly. Lineage: Eukaryota; Metazoa; Chordata; Amphibia; Anura; Pelobatidae.